RNAcentral lists this ribosomal RNA (420 nucleotides) under uncultured bacterium. RNAcentral's name for it is "partial 16S ribosomal RNA". It matches the Rfam family "Bacterial small subunit ribosomal RNA", at positions 360 to 772 of the family's 1533-position model. The record is from RNAcentral.
AAUCUUCCCCAAUGGACGAAAGUCUGACGGAGCAACGCCGCGUGUGUGAUGAAGGGUUUCGGCUCGUACAACUCUUUUGUUAAGGAAGGACACUUGAGGUAGUAACUUGCCUUGAGACGACGGUACUUAUCCAGAAAGCUACGGCUAUCUACGUGCCAGCAGCGGCGGUAAUACGUAGGUGGCAAGCGUUAUCCGGAAUCGUUGGGCGUAAAGCGCGCGUAGGCGGUAAAAUAAGUCUGAUGUGAAAGCCCCCGGCUCAACCGGGGAGGGUCAUUGGAAACUGUUUUACUUGAGUACAGAAGAGGAGAGUGGAAUUCCAUGUGUAGCGGUGAAAUGCGCAGAGAUAUGGAGGAACACCAGUGGCGAAGGCGGCUCUCUGGUCUGUUACUGACGCUGAGGUGCGAAAGCGUGGGGAUCAAA